Molecule: ribosomal RNA, 465 nt
Filed under: Vreelandella stevensii
Lineage: Bacteria; Pseudomonadati; Pseudomonadota; Gammaproteobacteria; Oceanospirillales; Halomonadaceae
Description: partial 16S ribosomal RNA
Rfam family: Bacterial small subunit ribosomal RNA
Source: RNAcentral
CCUACGGGGGGCUGCAGUGGGGAAUAUUGGACAAUGGGGGGAACCCUGAUCCAGCCAUGCCGCGUGUGUGAAGAAGGCCCUCGGGUUGUAAAGCACUUUCAGUGAGGAAGAACGCCUGGUGGUUAAUACCCAUCAGGAAAGACAUCACUCACAGAAGAAGCACCGGCUAACUCCGUGCCAGCAGCCGCGGUAAUACGGAGGGUGCGAGCGUUAAUCGGAAUUACUGGGCGUAAAGCGCGCGUAGGUGGCUUGAUAAGCCGGUUGUGAAAGCCCCGGGCUCAACCUGGGAACGGCAUCCGGAACUGUCAAGCUAGAGUGCCGGAGAGGAAGGUAGAAUUCCCGGUGUAGCGGUGAAAUGCGUAGAGAUCGGGAGGAAUACCAGUGGCGAAGGCGGCCUUCUGGACUGACACUGACACUGAGGUGCGAAAGCGUGGGUAGCAAACAGGAUUAGAUACCCUAGUAGUC